Long non-coding RNA from Octopus sinensis (East Asian common octopus), 1480 nucleotides. RefSeq lists it as uncharacterized. The record is from RefSeq and is a predicted model, not a curated record. The transcript is spliced from 2 exons. NCBI's taxonomy places the organism in Eukaryota, Metazoa, Mollusca, Cephalopoda, Octopoda, Octopodidae.
CAAUAAAUAAGUACAUCGAUGUAUAUAUAUAUAUAUAAUAAUAUACCAACAUACAUAAACAUAUUACAAUAUACAGAUACUUAUGCACACUUACAUUAAUACAUAUUUGCAUGCAUACGUACAUACAUAAUUCUGUGAGAAUCCAUGGGAUACACUUGAAAUCUCGGUGAAUGAAAAUUAGAUAUGUCUAUACAAACGUCAUGUGCUUUGCUUUAAAGAAACUCCUUGGGUGCAAAAUUUUUGCAUGGAACCAAUCAAUGAAUUUUAGCAAAUAAAUACAGGAAAGCAAAUCAAAAUUACUUUACUAAGUCAACCUAGUCCUCCUCCACAAACCCCAAUCCCAAAUUUAAAUCUUCUCCUUAAAAUUUGAUUUAUACCUAUUUUCGUAGGGUUUUGGUGCUCAUCCCUGUUUCGGUACAACCAAAUUACUCAAGACAAUGAUAUCGUUGUUAUGCUACUUUAAGCCUUAACAUUAAUACACGCACACUUCAAAAUUCUCUCUUUCUUCCCCCGCCCCCCACAUACAUACACAUACACACCAAAGUCCAAAUGUUAAAACCAUAAUGUUUUAAUUUAUUGGAAGUACCAGGUGAAGAAAGUUAAUACAUAUCUGGUAUAUAAAUCAUAUAAAAAAAAAGUACAAAACAAGCAACAAUAUUACUGAGUUUCAAAAAAAUACUAAGUUAUCAGGUGUUUAAUGUAUGUUUGUGUGGCAAGUGUGAUAUAAAACGGAGCACCACUCCUUUGUUCAGAUAAAUUUUCAGUAAAUAGAAAUAGGAGUUGUUGGUGUUAUUCUAGUUUUCUUUGCCUUGUUUUAAUUAAGGUCUUUGAUUCAAUUUCGGCAUAUACUUUCGACUAGUCUUUCAGUCUUCCCCUCACUGACCAUAACCCUCUCAAGUCAAACAUCAUAGUCUCUAGUAUCAUAACUCCAUAUUUUCUUAAAACAUUUAGAAGCCCUUAGGCAAAGCAGAAACCUGGUCUAUACUAUUUAUUGAGUGUGAGCAAACCACAAUAUAUAUGCUUAACAUUGGACCCUUAGAUCUGUGAGGCCUCCAAGUAACCUACCCAGUAUGCCCAUGCUUUAUGAUGGCUCUACUUGUAGCACUCUUAGACAUUAUUGGUGGCAUAACAGCUUAAACCCAUUAUAUUUUUCCUUCUAUAUUGUAACAUUACAGAAAGAACAAAGUCCAUAGUUUGAAGUCCUUCCUGGCAAAAAAAUAUCAUUGGGUGAUUAUUUUUGUUGAUUUACUUUUAUUUUUAUGAUUAAAAUAAAUCAAGAUAUGGAGAAAAUUUUUUAAAUAUUAAUCCUUCUGUUUCAUUGAAAUUAAUUUAAGUCAUUAAUUUAUGUAAUUGCCCACAUUUUUUUUUUUUUUGUUAUCAGAGACAGCCAUUGAGGAAUAACCAUUUGUUAUUGGUUUAAAAAAUAGGAGAUAUUAAUGCUUAUGUUUCCUUUUUCUCAAAGAUACUGUCUAUUUAAUUU